CUUCAUGAUUCAGACCUUGGUGAGUGGCGACGGGUGAGUAACCACGUGGGUAACCUGCCCAGAAUGGGGGAUAACAUUUGGAAACAAGUGCUAAUACCGCAUAACAACUUAGAUCACAUGUAAUCUUUGUUUAAAAGAUGGUUUUGCUAUCUCUUCUCGGGUGGACCCGCGGCGUAUUAGCUAGUUGGUGAGGUAAUAGCUCACCAAGGCGAUGAUACGUAGCCGACCCUGAGAGGGUAAUCGGCCACAUUGGGACUGAGACACGGCCCCAAACUCC
Molecule: ribosomal RNA, 277 nt
Filed under: uncultured Lactobacillaceae bacterium
Lineage: Bacteria; Bacillati; Bacillota; Bacilli; Lactobacillales; Lactobacillaceae
Description: partial 16S ribosomal RNA
Rfam family: Bacterial small subunit ribosomal RNA
Source: RNAcentral